RNAcentral lists this long non-coding RNA (1055 nucleotides) under Homo sapiens (human). RNAcentral describes it as "HSALNT0159375". The record is from RNAcentral. Lineage: Eukaryota; Metazoa; Chordata; Mammalia; Primates; Hominidae.
GUAAAAUUUAAAUCGAGAGAUGGCAUAAUCCAUGAGUCAGCCAGACUUUCAGCUGGAAAAAUCUUUAGUAAAUACCUUCCUUCUAAAUUACAGAAAGUAACUUUUCCAUACACACUGUAAACAGCAGACACUCUAACAGAGCAUCGGUUAUGCUCCAUCUCCUAACCUGAAGGACUCUUGUCACACACCCACCUCUGAGAACCCAAGCUCCUCAGUUUUUUUAAUCUUUUGGCCACAUUUCAUCCAAUUACCAUCAUACCUUUUAUACGUUAGAUUUCCAAGGAGGUAAGUGAAUCACGUAAUGGGGGUGAACUGUACCCAGUCAAAAUAACCUUAUCUGACUUUUUCUAUAUUUUUGAUAUUUUUUCUCUAAAUAUUAAGUCUUUCUCCCAAGCUCAUGUCUAUUCCUUCCUAAAAGUCAAAUUGACAUGAAGUGAAAAAUGAUGUGUUGCUUCUGAAGACAAUGGAUUGCUUGGCAUUUGGGAUCUUUCCUUUAAAACUGAUAAUGCUUCCCCAAUUCAGUUCCAUCUACCUGACUGACUAGAACAUUUACUGUGGUACAUUUUCCAGGUUUGAUAGGAAAAUGCUAAGCGUUGUAUGACACAGAUAUUCUUGCUCACAGGCACUCUACCAGCCUUUGAAAAAGUCAAUUUAGGCUGGACGCGGCUGCUCACGUCUGUCAUCUCAGCACUUUGGGAGGACAAGGCAGGUGGAUCACGAGGUCAGUUCGAGACCAGCCUGACCAACAUGGUGAAACCCCAUCUCUACUAAAAAUACAAAAAAAUGAGCUGGGUGUGGUGGUGGGCACCUGCAAUCCCAGCUACUCAGGCGGCUGAGACAGGAGAAUCGUUGAAUCUGGGUGGUGGAGGGUGCAGUGAGCCGAGAUUGCGCCGCUGCACUCCUGCCUUGGCGACAGAACGAAACUCUGUCUCAAAAAAAAAAAAAAAAAGGCCAGGCACGGUGGCUCGCAGCUGUAAUCCUAGCACUUUGGGAGGCUGACGUGGGCAAAUCACGAGGUCAAGAGACGGAAACCAUCCUGGCCAACAUGGUAAAAC